RNAcentral lists this long non-coding RNA (3844 nucleotides) under Homo sapiens (human). RNAcentral describes it as "non-protein coding lnc-GRIP2-1:15". The record is from RNAcentral. Lineage: Eukaryota; Metazoa; Chordata; Mammalia; Primates; Hominidae.
GCACACCCUCAUGCCGCGCGGCGAACGUUCGUUGCCAGGUGCGGCAGCCCGCCCUGGGCGCCUCCUGCCUGCGGAAGAAGAGCAGGACAGACCCGACCCGACCCGCCUAGUCCUUUCCUUCACAGCAGCCUCCAAACUCCACCGCUCGCCUCUUCCGCCAGGCUCCUAGGAUGAGGCCCAGGGCUCCUGGAGCAGCCAGGUGCAAACCAGACCGGGCUCGCACUCCACUGCGUUGCCCUGGGCGAUCGUCCACGUUCUGGGAGACUCGGUAUGCCCCGGGAGGGUGGCCUGAGCUUGUGGUGUGAAGCCAGGUACAGAGCUCCAGAAUCCUGGCCUUGCCAUGGCUGUGUGACCCUGGGCAAGUGACUCAAUUUCUCUGCCUCAGUGUCCUCAUCUAUAAAAUGGAAAGGAAAAUAGUAGCGCUUGUCUCCUCCGGCUGUUAUGAAGAUCCAAGGUUAACAGCGUAGAGAACUCGGAACGCACCCGGCAUCUAGGAAGUGCCAAGCCAGUGUCAGCUAAUGUGACUAUUUUUAAAUGGAGAUGGGGAGUGUGCCAUUAUUCUUGUCCUUAUUUGAAUGAACGGGCCCUCAGGGACCAUUUUCCACUGCCCCGCCCUGGCAGCAUGAGAGGGAAACGCUGUGAGAACCCCGAACCCCAGCCUUCUCCUGUCCCUCUCUCUCUCUCUCUCUCUCUGCACCUGGGAGGCGGGGAGGAGAGAGCCGAUCCUUCCACCAUUUACACGGAGAAUGAAAGAAGAAAUACCGGCCAGGCGCGGUGGCUCAUGCCUGUAAUCCCAGCACUUUGGGAGGCCGAGGGGGCAGAUCACCUGAGGUCAGGAGUUCGAGACCAGCCUGGCCAACAUGGCGAAACUCCGUCUCUACUAAAAGUACAAAAAUUAGCCUGGCGUGGUGCCGGGUGCCUAUAAUCCCAGCUACUCAGGAGGCUGAGGCAGGAGAAUCCCUUGAACCCGGGAGGCGGAGGUUGCAGUGAGCCGAGAUCACGCCACUGCACUCCAGCCUGGGUGACAAGAAUGAGUCUCAAAAAAACAAAAAAGAAGAAGAAGAAGAAAUACCACACAGGUCCGACCAAGAGCUGCCCCCACUCAGGCCAGGAUCCCUGCCUGGAAGGGCUCUGCAGCCACUCUCCCUGUACAGCCCCAGGAUGCUAAGGAGCAUCCCGAAGUGACACUGGCUCUCCCUGGAGGCCCCUGCCAUCGGACUCCAACCUGACCUUCCAGUGGGUGCUCCUCAUACUGGCUCCAGCCAAGACAGACGAGGACCACUGGGCACAUGCCCUUCCUUGCCUUCCUGUCACCCUUCCCACCCUUCUCUGCGGGCCCCGGGUGGCCCCUUCCUCCAGGAAGCACCUGGGGAUCAGCAGUGCCUCUAGGGUCCCAGUGGCCCACGUGACAUCUGCUUCUGGCCACCUGAGCACUCUCCUUUGAGUUCAGGGUCACUGUACCCUUUUAUAGGUGAGCAAACGAAAGCUGAGGAAGAGGAGUGACUGGGUCUCCCACAUCCCUCUGCUUCAGCUAUGAGGUUCCCUCAUGAACUGCAGGAAUAGACGUCAAGCAAAAACUCCUCAGACGCCCUGUGCAUGUGUGGUCGCACAGGGCACAAAGACUGAAGCAAAGGGGCAGGUCCUAGCGUGGGGAGGGGACUCCAGGAUUGAAGUUUGAACCAAAAGGAGGCUUUGACUAAGCCACGAGCAGUGAAGCCGGCAGGAGAGGAAGCAAGUUCUAGCAGAGAAAUUCGCCGGGUAUGGUGGUGCAUGCCUAUGGUCCCAGCUACUCAGGAGGCUGAGGCAGGAGGAUCACUUGAGCCCGGGAGGUGAAGGCUGCGGUAAGCUAUGACUACACCACUGCACUCCAGCCUAGGUGCGAGAGCAAGACCCUGUCUCCAAACAACAACAACAACAACAAAAUCUGAAUGCCUGGUUUAUCUUGAAAUAUGGCAAAAUGGGGCCACCCAGGCCCAUUAACCCCCUGUCUACAAUGUCCUGGAGCUGAGGGGCAUUAGCCACCCUCUCACAUGGGCUCCCCAGGGUGCCACAGCUCCCUCCUAGCUAGUUUGCUCUUUUCUGUCACCUACCGGCCCUUGCAGGGAGCUGAAUUUGAGACCCAUGAUGCACUUUGUGCACCCUGCCCCCUCAAAGAUAACUGUGAGUACCAAGGGAAAUGGAAAGCUUUGGCAACAAGAAGGGAGCUUCAAGGAAAGCCAGGCCGAGGUUCCCCUCAGAACCAUAGACUAGCCUGAAAUUCCACUGGGACUAAUUCUUCUCAUUUCAAGAAUGAAAAUCGAUUGCUGGACAGAGCUCCCGGAGGGCCAAUUUUCAGGCUGUAGUCUACAGCCGUCCACGUAGAGGCAGUGAACGAAAUUUUUCAAAGCCUACUUUAUGAUUACUUUCUUUAGCAGCUCUCAACAGUAAAAUAAAAUUGAUCUAGGACUUUGAACAAAACUUCUCGCCCCUUUCUAGGGAAGAGUUUGUCUCGUCUAUCAGGCCACCAACAAGAGUUGUUGCAAUGCCUGUGGGAGGUGCAGCCCACGCUGGGCCACCUGGCCAGCUCAGGGAUCCUGCUGGAGAUCGAGGAUUGUCUGGUCGGCCUCUUACAACUCUCAGAACAUCAUCCCUGGGAGCAGCCCUGAAGAGACCAAGGAAUGGAAAAACAGAUGGAAGGACUGCAACUCACAGGUGAAAAGGAACCGGCUACGAGAGGCUCCAAACCAAGGGAGCAGCGGAGUUUGUCUCCAAAACACCGAGCCCAGUGAGAGAAGCCAGAGCCACAGACCAGAUGCCCUGCAAGACCUUCCCAGACCACCAUGUCUCAGACAGCCCCGGCUGCCUCCUGCCUGCCCUGCACCAGCCCUGAGCCAUCGCCUCAUUUUAUUCUCAUUCUAACUUGGAUAAUGGGGAUCUGCCUCUUACCAACUGUGACCUUAGGCACAGGAUCAGCCCCAAAUUGAGCCUCAUUUUGUCCAUCUGUAAAAUGAGGAUGGCACUAGAGCCCCGUCUAGGGUGAAUGUGAAGGUCAGAGCCUGCACAAGCUCAUAGCCACCAUGCAUGACUUGGGACUUCUGAAUGGGACCAAGAAAUAUCUAACAUGCGAUUUCCUGGAAAGCACAUAGGAGUUUGGCCCAGAUCCAGACUUGGCAGUUGCUCAAUCAAGAAGAAGCUGCCAGGCACAGUGGCUUGUGCCUGUAACCCCAGAACUUUGAGAGGCUGAGCGGGGUGGAUCACCCAAAGUCAGGAGUUCAAGACCAGCCUGGCCAACAUGGUGAAAUGCCGUCUCUACUAAAAAUACAAAAAUUCGCUGGGUGUGGUGGUGGGUGCUUGUAAUCCUAGCUACUCAGGAGGCUGAGACAGGAGAAUCCCUUGAACCCAGAGGCAGAGGUUACAGUGAGCCGAGAUCGUGCCACUGCCCUCCAGCCUGGGCAACAAAGAGUGAAACUCUUGUCUAAAAAAAAAAAGAAGAAGAAGAAGGAGAAGGAGAAGGAGCGGGAGAAGGAGAAGAAGAAGAAGAAGAAGAAGCCUCAGUGAAGUGCUCCAGCAUCUUCACCCCCUUGGUCACUUGCUCAUCUCCUUGAUGAACAAAAGCGGCCCCAGAUCAGAGCCAUCGAGCACCUGCAGCCAGCAAGGUUGGCUGGUUUUCAUUGUGUGCAUUUUUAAGGCGUCUUCUAUUUAUAGAAAGGAUUGUGGUCUUGCAUUUGUAGCAGCGAUGAAAGCUUUACUUUUUGGCAAAAUGUGUGCAAGUUGUUUAGAAGUGAGUCUGUUUGAAAAAAAAAAUUAAAUGAAUAAUGAUUUAGGAGGUGAGUUUGUUUCCUAGGGCUGCUGUGAUGAAGUGCCA